RNAcentral lists this long non-coding RNA (439 nucleotides) under Citrus sinensis (sweet orange). RNAcentral's name for it is "long non-coding RNA (CSIN_LNC004799)". Lineage: Eukaryota; Viridiplantae; Streptophyta; Magnoliopsida; Sapindales; Rutaceae. The record is from RNAcentral.
GGCAUGCAAAGGCUCACCAAGUCUCAAAGCCUGUUUUAUGGCGAGACAGAAGCCAAGCAUGCCAGGAUCUGCUCGGCCACGAGAAGGCUAGCAGAAUCCCAAGCUUUGAAGAAAUCAUCUAAGGCAUGCAAAGGCUCGUCAAGUCUCAAAGCCUGUUUAUGGCGAGACAGAAGCCAAGCAUGCCAACAGCAGCUCGGCCACGAGAAGGCGAGCAGAAUCCAAUUCCUCGAAGAAUUUAAGGCAUGCAAAGGCUCGAGAAAGUCUCAAAGCUUGUCUUAUGGCGAGACAGAAGCCAAGCAUGCCAGGAUCUGCUCGGCCACGAGAAGGCGAGCAGAAUCCAAAGCAUUCGAAGAAAUUCCUGAGGCAUGCAAAGGCUCACCAAGUCUCAAAGCCUGUCUUAUGGCGAGACAGAAGCCAAGCAUGCCAGGAUCUGCUCGAC